This 372-nucleotide ribosomal RNA is filed under the name uncultured organism. RNAcentral describes it as "bacterial SSU rRNA". It matches the Rfam family "Bacterial small subunit ribosomal RNA", at positions 526 to 896 of the family's 1533-position model. The record is from RNAcentral.
CAGAGGGUGCAAGCGUUAAUCGGAUUUACUGGGCGUAAAGCGUGAGUAGGUGGCUCGCUAAGUCGAUUGUGAAAGCCCUGGGCUCAACCUGGGAAUUGCAGUCGAUACUGGUGAGCUAGAGUUCGGUAGAGGGUGACGGGAAUUCCCGGUGUAGCGGUGAAAUGCGUAGAUAUCGGGAGGAACAUCGAUGGCGAAGGCAAUCACCUGGGCCUGAACUGACACUGAGACACGAAAGCGUGGGUAGCAAACAGGAUUAGAUACCCUGGUAGUCCACGCCGUAAACGAUGGGAACCUGACGUCGGUUUGCUCUGCGAAUCGGUGUCGUAGCUAACGCGCUAAGUUCCCCGCCUGGGGAGUACGGCCGCAAGGUUG